RNAcentral lists this ribosomal RNA (384 nucleotides) under Madatyphlops arenarius (sand worm snake). RNAcentral's name for it is "partial 12S ribosomal RNA". It matches the Rfam family "Bacterial small subunit ribosomal RNA", at positions 830 to 1384 of the family's 1533-position model. Lineage: Eukaryota; Metazoa; Chordata; Lepidosauria; Squamata; Typhlopidae. The record is from RNAcentral.
GCUUGGCAGUAAAAGGCUGAAAAUUACUAUCCGCCCGCCAGAUUAUUACAAGUAAAAACUUAAAACUCAAAGGACUUGACGGUGUCUCACACACAACCUAGAGGAGCCUGUCCCAUAAUCGAUGAUCCACGAUACACCCAACCGCUUUUUGCCAAACAACCUAUAUACCGCCGUCGAAAGCUCACCUUUUGAAAGAAUAAAAGUGAACACAACAAUUUAACAUUAAAACGUCAGGUCAAGGUGUAGUUUAUGAGGCGGACGGAGAUGGGCUACAUUUCCUUUAUAAGGAAAUACGAACGGCAUGUUGAAAAACAAGCCCGAAGGAGGAUUUAGUAGUAAGAUUGGAUUAGCAAACCAAUUUGAACACACUGCCCUGAGACGCGU